RNAcentral lists this ribosomal RNA (1332 nucleotides) under Paraphysomonas bandaiensis. RNAcentral describes it as "partial Bacterial large subunit ribosomal RNA". It matches the Rfam family "Bacterial large subunit ribosomal RNA", at positions 158 to 1692 of the family's 2925-position model. The record is from RNAcentral. Lineage: Eukaryota; Chrysophyceae; Chromulinales; Paraphysomonadaceae.
AAAAAUUUAUCUUUGGAAGAGUUAAUUAGGUGAAGUAAAACAUUCUAGUAACCUGUAAUAUAAAUCAAACGAGAAAAUGUUAGUAGUGGUGAGCGAAUAUAUUGUAAGGCAAAAAAGCAAGUAAAAUGUAUGAAUUCCAAAGAAGGUUUUAGUCCUGUAGUACUUUUUAUUUGUUUUUUAAUAAAUGACGGAUUAUGUUAAAUUUGUUGUUAAUUUAGGAGAUCUACCUUCGUGCCUAAAGUUUUUAAUGAUCGAUAGUGAACAAGUACCGUAAGGGAAAGGUGAAAAAGGACUUUUUUAGAGUGAAAAGAACCUAAAAUUUAGUGCAUUAAAGCUGUUAGAGCUAAUUAAUUAGUUAUAGCGUACCUUUUGCAUAAUGGGCCAGUGAGUUUAUAAGGAAGGCAAGUUUAAACUUCGUGUAGACAAAGAUAAGUCAAGAUUGUUUGAAAUAGUAGCUAUAGUCUUUUUUUAUAAAACCCGAAGCUAAGUGAUCUAACCAUGAGCAGGUUGAUAUUUUUAUGGCAACGUAAUUUGGAGGACCGAACCCGUAUUUGUGGAAAAAAAUUGGGAUGACUUGUGGUUAGGGGUGAAAGGCUAAUCAAACUUAGGGAUAGCUGGUUUUCUGCGAAAUAUAUUUUAGUAUAGCCUGCAAUAAAUCAAAAUUUGGGUAGAGCACUUUUAAAGUAAAGGGGGUCGUAGACCUUACUAAACUUUGAAAAACUUCGAAUAAAUUUUUGAUACUUUUUGUGGAGUCAGACUAUCGGUGCAAAGGUCGAUAGUCCAUUGGGAAACAGCCCAGUAUAUUUAAUAAGGCCUUUAAUAUUAGUUAAGUGUUAAGAUUGCAAAUAACAGAGACGAUCAUAAAGUAGGCUUAGAAGCAGUCAUUUUUUUGAGAAAGCGUAACAGCUCAUUGAUUUAGUUAUUUUGUAUCAAAAAUUUAGUGAGUCUAAAUUAAUAGCCGACUUAGUAUUAUAGUUAGCAGAACGUUUUAUAUAUUGAUAAAGGUUAUUUGUUAAAAUAACUUUAAAUAAUAAAAGUGAGGAUACUGGCAUUAGUAGCUAAAAAUAACGAAAUAACGUUAUCGCCGUAAAUCUAAGGUUUUCGAUUCAAUUUUUAAAAAAAUCGUAAUUUUAAUUUAAAAAUAUGCGGUCCCUAAGGCAAAUUACAAAAGUAUAAGCUAAUGGGAAGUUUAGUUUUAUAGUUACAAAAUUUUAAAUACAUUAAAUAAUAGUGAUUUCUUUGAUGUUAAAAAAUUUUCUGGAAACAGCUGAACAUGAAAUACCGUACCCUAAACCGACACAGGUGGACUGGUAGAGAAUACCAAGGCGCUUG